AGACGUCUACAUUAGAUACCCGGGUAGUCCCAGCCGUAAACUAUGCGCGUUAGGUGUAUCGGUGACCACGAGUCACCGAGGUGCCGAAGGGAAACCGUGAAACGUGCCGCCUGGGAAGUACGGUCGCAAGGCUGAAACUUAAAGGAAUUGGCGGGGAGCACCACAACGGGUGGAGCCUGCGGUUUAAUUGGACUCAACGCCGGGAAGCUCACCGGAUAGGACAGCAGAAUGAUUGCCGGGCUGAAGACUCUGCAUGACUAGCUG
Molecule: ribosomal RNA, 264 nt
Filed under: uncultured archaeon
Lineage: Archaea
Description: partial 16S ribosomal RNA
Rfam family: Archaeal small subunit ribosomal RNA
Source: RNAcentral